Molecule: non-coding RNA, 1268 nt
Organism: Phalacrocorax carbo (great cormorant)
Lineage: Eukaryota; Metazoa; Chordata; Aves; Suliformes; Phalacrocoracidae
Source: RefSeq, a predicted model, not a curated record
CGGGGCAGCUGGGCGGACGUCCCUCCCGACUCCAUAACACGCCAAAACCCCCCAGUCACGUUGCUGCUGUGUAUUUUGGAGAUAGAUAAUCUUAUGGCGGGUGUGAACGGCUGUGUGAGUUAAAUGAACGCAGAAGGAAAAUGGAAAGCUUUCAGAGCCUAGACGCUCAUAUUGGAUGUGCGUAAACACGCGCCCGCCUUCUCAGCACAAAGUGCAUUACUGAGAUUUAUUCUUAAUUUUUUACGUUACUCUUUCAAGUUUGACGCUUCGCUUCAGGCUUCAUGGAGCCAGGCAGCAAGACGUGCGGCGGCAGGGCGAGGGCUGUAGCUGCUGCGGCGGAUCUGUAAGCGGAGGUUCCGGUUCCGGUACAACUUUGCCCCGCAGCCUCACGGGGUUAUCUCCCCGCAGCGGUGCCAUAAGGAAGGGAUGAGACGUUUUCCGACACCAGCCAGAGCGUUCAGUGUUACGCGAAGAAUCUGUUCAAAAUGGUAUCGAUGUCUUCUCAGUGUCUCGUGAUGCUCAAGAGAUGCCCCCCGGCCCGGGUUUGCCUGCCGGUCGUUAAGCGUGGUGAAGGAGCAAAAAUCACCGAUUUCUGUGUUGUGGAAAGGGCCAAAGAGACCCAGAAGUGAACUGUUUGGAAAAGCAAUCCCAACUUUUUACCCUAUGGAAAAGCAAAAAAAGCCAAAGGAACAAACCCCAGAAAACCCCAACAACAAAAAAAGCCAAGCCAUCCAAACAGAAAUCACCAACACCAAGCGAACGCCCCAAAAACCCCAAAUUGGGGAAAAUUUGGGGUGAAACACCGGCAGUUUGAGGGGCAUUGCUGGGGCUUAUCCGGAAUGGAUUCUCCGGAGUGGGUCGGUUAUCUGGAGCGGAUCAUCUGCUGCAGGUGAGCCCAGGUGAGUUGCCCGUUGUGGAUUAUCCUGGGGGGACCCCCCUGGUGUCAGUCAUCCCCAUGCAUGUUCCCCAUGGCGUGUCUGCCCAGACAUGCCCCUGUCCGGCAGUGUCCGCCUCCUCCCCCGCCCUCCCUCUGCGUGUGUCUGUGCCCUCCCAGACGCUGUCCCCUGAGAUGGCCCCCCUGCAUGACUUUUUUUCCCCGGUGACAUUCCUCCCCCCCGCUUCCCCUGGCCUCCUGUUCUGUGCUCGCUGAAGCCUCGUGCUUACGCAGGAUGAGCAGUGGCGAGGCGAGGCGCUGCCAAGCCAACGAAGCCCAAGGCUCAGCAGCGCACAACUCCUUUGCAGGGCAGCCGCUGGCAUCUGGUCUGCCU